CACACACGGGUUCGCUUCAGAACGCAUUACUUUUUCGCCUUUUACUAAAAAGUACCGUGGAGCGGAUCACUAAAUGUGAUCUCGAGUUUUUGGAGACGACUUCGGUCUCA
This 110-nucleotide small nuclear RNA is filed under the name Bigelowiella natans CCMP2755. Its description in RNAcentral is "snRNA EPrBNAG00000013239". It matches the Rfam family "U5 spliceosomal RNA". From Rfam's summary of the family: U5 RNA is a component of both types of known spliceosome. The precise function of this molecule is unknown, though it is known that the 5' loop is required for splice site selection and p220 binding, and that both the 3' stem-loop and the Sm site are important for Sm protein binding and cap methylation. The record is from RNAcentral. Lineage: Eukaryota; Cercozoa; Chlorarachniophyceae.